CUUAGGCUGCCCUUAACAAAGGAAUAUAGACCUGGUACUGCUGAUCAAAAGUGUUCUUUUAAUACAUGCAGAGUUUUAAAAAAAUCUCAGAGAUUUUACUUAAACUUUGUGGAGAGCUCUGCGUUUUUUUCUGCCACUGAGAAAAAAAAAAUCAAGUUUUCCUCUCAGAUUUCCUCUCAAUUUUCCAAGGUUCCUCAAAGGCAUGGCCAGCAAUCUGGUGCAGUUCUUCAUUUCUGCAGGGCCCCUGUGAAAAGCUGUUUUAGCUCUAUUAACAACACAGCUGAAAUCCUUUAGAGAGAGUUAACAGAUUAUGAAAGCAAACAGAUACUGCAUGUUUUCAUACAGCUCCCCUUCCACAGGACCAGAUAAGCUCCCUCUUCACUAACCUCCCACUGUUCUGCCAUUUCUGAGAGACUGCUUUUUAAAUACAUCUGAGAUGUAUUUAAAAAUCAGAAGUUGAAUUAUUAGCCCAUAACCCAAAGUGGAAAAUAUUGGAAAAUAUAGUGGAAAAUAUAUCACAAACUGAAAGAAAUUCAAACCAUAUUCUCCUGUGUCCCCUGUGGGAGUUCUCCACAUUAAACAAGAAUCCUAAGUGAGAUUAACAGUGACUGAACGGCACAAAAAAAUGGGGGAAGGAAAAGAAAACAUCCUCCUCUUCUCCUCCACUACUAUAUGGUGUGAAGGCUUGCAAUUGAAUGUUACAAGAACACGAGUGCUUGAUAUUAUAUGUGCAGAGAGAAGAAACAGGAGCAGAGUAUCCCAGAUGGAGGUGACUUUGGCACAGGAGGACAACUGGAUCAUACGAUACUAGUGCAAUGCUGGAACACCUCAGUACUGGGCAGCAUGUAGGUACAGCACAGGGGGAAGUCUCUGCAGAAAGGCUGUAGAUAUUUUUUUUAUUCUAUACACUAAUUUCCAGAAGCAGGUGUAGAAGCACAUUAUGUAGUAACCAUACUAUGGCACCGCUUUGAGUUUUCAUUUGUCAGGCUGGGAUCACAGACAGGACACCAAUUUCUGCCACCAUUCACUGAGACACUGUACAGCCAGUGUAAAAUUACUUUUUAGUUCCAAAUAUGGUUUUUUUCACCACCCUAAGAUGAAUUGUCCAAAGUACUGAAAAUUUGGUCUUCCUCAGAGUCCAGGGAAGAAGACCAUAUGCUUCAAAUUGAUUUAGAUUCCUUGUUUGGUCAGUAUAGAAGACCCUACAAUUCUCAGAAUGAAGCUCCCACCGAAAAUAAAUAAAUAAAAAGUAUGUAUUUGAUAGAAAAU
This 1269-nucleotide long non-coding RNA is filed under the name Anas platyrhynchos platyrhynchos (common mallard). Its description in RNAcentral is "lncRNA (ENSAPLG00000024879.1)". The record is from RNAcentral. Lineage: Eukaryota; Metazoa; Chordata; Aves; Anseriformes; Anatidae.